This is a long non-coding RNA of Schistocerca cancellata (South American locust), 647 nucleotides long. RefSeq lists it as uncharacterized. Lineage: Eukaryota; Metazoa; Arthropoda; Insecta; Orthoptera; Acrididae. The record is from RefSeq and is a predicted model, not a curated record. The transcript is spliced from 3 exons.
UGUGUGUGUGUGUGUGUGUGUGUGGUCUAUUUCUGACGAAGGUCUUGUUGGCAGAAAGCUCACUUUCUGACAGUCUUUUCGUUGUGCCUAUUUGCAACGCAGUUUCUCUGCUGUAAGGUUUGUGUCAUUCGCUGUGAGCCAGUGAUGAGGUCUGCAAUAAAAUGCUAAGCUCGUGUGUGAGCAAUAGUGACAAUUUCUGUUACACUUGUGAUGAGUUCACAUUUACAACACAGAAGAGGAAGCUCCAGCCUGUUGUUUGCAAAGCUUAUGAAUUGUACUCUGGAUGCAAGAGUCUCUCGGUGUUGUUAGUGAUGAACAUAAGGAGAGUUUCCAUCAACAGAUGGCUACUAUGGAGAAGAGUUAACAAGGAAAAAUGGAAUCUCAGUAUGUUACCAGACUACUGCUGAACAAUCAACAGUAAGAUUUCAGAAACUAUCUACAUUCUUAAACGUGCAUGGAUAUAUAUGGAAUUGUUGUUUGUAAUAAUUGACAAACAAACAUACUGAAAUUACUUGUAUAUGUAUGGAAAUGACUUAAACGAAAACAAAGAAAAUAGAGAAUAGUUAGUAUUACGUAUAUACAGUAUGUGUAUACAGUUACAAGAAAAAGCCUAUAUCACAAAAAUAAAAACCAACUAAAUAAUUUUA